Long non-coding RNA from Patiria miniata (bat star), 2046 nucleotides. RefSeq lists it as uncharacterized. NCBI's taxonomy places the organism in Eukaryota, Metazoa, Echinodermata, Asteroidea, Valvatida, Asterinidae. The transcript has 5 exons. The record is from RefSeq and is a predicted model, not a curated record.
GAAGUCAAAGACUUGCUUUCCAAAAUGCAACAUAGCCAUUUGUAGACAAUUCAACAUUGUGCAUAAUAAAAUAUACAUGUAUGAUCAAGUACCGGUAGCUUUUUUUUGAUAAAAUCAAUCAGUUUGUUUUUAUAAUACGUUUAGCUGCCUCAUUGUUAUGGCCUAAUUUCAUCCUCAUUAUCAGGUGAAAUCCAUUGUUUCAAAUUGUAUACUACCUCAAUCUGCUGAAAUGUUCUUUUUGUGGCAUUUGUUCAUGGAGGGUUAAUCACUGGCUAAAUCUUGCAAAAUGCAAGAGUGACAAGUUAUGCAAACUGUAGCAUCAAGAAUUAUAUACAUGCCUUAAAUUUUUAGAUGUAAUUUGAGGUAAUGACAAAUUGUAAUACAUGAACUUGAAUUGGUUGUCAUCGGCGAUACUGAUCAAUUAGAGAAAUGAAGGUACUUGUGUUGAACUAAUUACUACAGUUUCAAUGAUUAGGGUAAUUUGUUUUUUGUCAAGGUUGUCUUUCAAACAGAAAUCGUGUGCAAUAUCCAAGGUAAUUUUAAAUACUCAUGCAAGUAUGAUGCAUUUGUUUUUGUAGGUAAAGUUCAUCUCUGACGAUUAUACUGAAGAGAUGUACAUAACGCAGAAGAUGCAGUGAGUUUAUUGAUGGUUUCUGUGCUUGGCCAAGUUACAGUGCCGUCAUCCAGCCUUCAAGCAUGGUUCAGAAGCCAUGAACCACAAAUCAGCAUGUUUCCUUCCAGUUUCCAAUGAGCACUCUGACAGCAUCACUUAGCAUGCCAGUAUUCAACAUUGUGCAGAUCAUCUCUGUAAAGAUGGCUGUGUUGCUUCAGUUGCCACAUCUCUACGUAUGUUCUUCCUGUUAGCAAAGGCACACUGUGACAGCAUAUACUUUCUACAUGCUAAUACAUGCACAGUAUUGUUCAGGGAAAGACAUAUGCAAACCUAUCAGCUUCCAAAGUCGGCAACAUCCUGCUGUCACUACAGUCUCAGCACCUACCAGCUCCCACUCUGUCAGCAACAUCCUGCUGUCACAUGUCCAGCUACUGGUACUUGAAGUUACUGUGUGCUUGUACAUUCUCAGCACCUACUAGCUCUCACUCUGUCAGCAACAUCCUGCUGUCACAUGUCCAGCUAUUGGUACUCGGAGUUACUAUUUGCUUGUACUUUCUCAGCACCUACCAGCUCCCACUCUGUCAGCAACAUCCUGUCCAGCUACCGGCACUUGGAGUUAUUGUGUGCUUGUACAUUCUCAGCACCUACUAGUUCCCACUCUGUCAGCAACAUCCUGCUGUCACACCUCCAGAUAUGUGGAGUUAUUGUGCUUUUACAGUCUCAGCCAGUAUUGGAUUGCAAGUUGUCUUAUGCUGCUACAACCUACACAUUUAGCAUUCUCUUGAACCUUGAGGAACCACCAUAUGAACAAAGAGACUCUGAAACACUCAUAAUAAACCUGUCACGGUGGUUUGUUGAACAUUCGUAUUAUUUGGAGGACUUGCAAUUAGCUCAUAUAGUCAACUAGCUAUUCCAGUCCUCUGGAAGAGUUAGUUGGCUGCUUGAGGUUAUUCUAUACUAGUAGCAUGCCUUUUUUGUGCACGGUCAAGAGUAGAUCGAGAAAGCAGUUGUUUUUAAGGGCAAAACAAUUGUUCUUGUUCCUUGAAAAAGUUGGUCAAAACAUUUUCCCAACCAAUUUUUUUUAUUUAAACAGUAAGAUAAAGGGCAACAAGGACUGUUUAAUGCCAUUUCUACUUGGUAGAAAAACAAUUCAAUGCUAAUUUUUAUCCAAGAUAUUCAAAGCUUUGGUGUUAUUGGCAAAGAGAGUACCCACAAGAGUGGUUGUGACAUGUACAUGCAAUACUGUUUGCAAUGAUUAUGCUAUUAUUAUGAUAAAAAUCGUGCAAAGUACGGCGUUAAAAUGGGCUUUCUCCUUGUACAUAGCACAAUACAUAAGUGAUUGUGAUCAUAAAUGUAUUGAAUUACAUAAAAUAUGAUUGUGGAUAAAUAUUUGGUAAUUUUGGGGAGGGGUGAGUGUAGGGGGGGGGGGGGGG